CCGGCGCUUUGAGAGGGACCUGCGGCCCAUCAGCUAGUUGGUAGGGUAAUGAGCUACCAAGGCAAAGACGGGUAAGGGGCGUGAGAGCGUGACCCCCCACACUGGCACUGGGACACGGGCCAGACUCCUACGGGAGGCAGCAGUGAGGAAUAUUGCGCAAUGAGCGAAAGCUAGACGCAGUAACGCCGCGUGGGUGAUGAAGGCCUUCGGGUCGUAAAACCCUUUUCUGGAGGAAGAGUAAGGACGGUACCCCAGGAAUAAGCCUCGGCUAACUAUGUGCCAGCAGCCGCGGGUAAUACAUAGGAGGCAAGCGUUAUCCGGAUUUACUGGGCGUAAAGAGCGUUGAGGCGGCUUCGUCAGUUGGACGUGAAAGCUCCCGGCUUAACUGGGAGAGGCCGUUCAAUACUGCGGGGCUUGAGGACAGCAGAGGGGGCUGGAAUCUCCAGGUGUAGUGGUGAUAUGCGUAGAUAUCGGAAGGUACACCAAUGGCGAAGGCGGCCCCCUGGGCUGCUCCUGACGCUGAAGGCGAAAGCUAGGGUAGCGAACGCGAUUACGAAACCCCGGUAGUCCUAGCCGUUAACGAUGGAUACUAGCUGUAGGAGGUUAAAAUUCCUUCUGUGCCGGAGCUAACGCGUUAAGUAUCCCGCCUGGGGAGUACGGUCGCAAGGCUUUAACUCAAAGGAAUUGUCGGGGGCCCGCACAAGCAGCGGAGCGUGUGGUUUAAUUCGAUGCAACGCGAAGAACCUUACCAGGGCUUGACAUGUAGGUAGUAGUGAAGCGAAAGCGGAACGAUCCUUCGGGAAGCCUACACAGGUGCUGCAUGGCUGUCGUCAGCUCGUGCCGUGAGGUGUUAGGUUAAGUCCUGUAACGAGCGCAACCCCUGCCGUUAGUUACAAGUGUCUAACGGGACUGCCCGGCAAAACUGGGACCAAGGUGGGGAUGACGUCAAGUCAGCAUGGCCUUUAUGUCAUGGGCUACACACACGCUACAAUGGCCGGUACAAUGGGUUGCCAAGCCGCGAGGCGGAGCCAAUCCUCUAAAGCCGGUCUCAGUUCGGAUUGUAGGCUGCAACCCGCAUGCAUGAAGUUGGAGUUGCUAGUAACC
This 1104-nucleotide ribosomal RNA is filed under the name uncultured organism. Its description in RNAcentral is "bacterial SSU rRNA". It matches the Rfam family "Bacterial small subunit ribosomal RNA", at positions 212 to 1343 of the family's 1533-position model. The record is from RNAcentral.